AAAAGGUCAAACCCUGGAUUUCCUUGUCUAACUUUGAAUAUCCAUCUUAUAUAAUUUUUUUUAUAAUUUGUAUUUUCAUUAUUGUUAAAUGAUAAAACAUGAUUAAUAUUUUAUGCGUGACUUGUCUUUUUUUUCAUAUUUUUUUAAAUAUAAGACGGACGGUCAAACGUUGGACAUAAAAACUAGGGUUUGCCUUUUUU
Non-coding RNA from Oryza barthii, 200 nucleotides. NCBI's taxonomy places the organism in Eukaryota, Viridiplantae, Streptophyta, Magnoliopsida, Poales, Poaceae. The record is from Rfam.